Molecule: ribosomal RNA, 428 nt
Filed under: uncultured bacterium
Lineage: Bacteria
Description: bacterial SSU rRNA
Rfam family: Bacterial small subunit ribosomal RNA
Source: RNAcentral
GCAUAACGCGAAGAACCUUACCCACCUUUGACAUGUACGGAAUCCUUUAGAGAUAGAGGAGUGCUCGAAAGAGAGCCGUAACACAGGUGCUGCAUGGCUGUCGUCAGCUCGUGUCGUGAGAUGUUGGGUUAAGUCCCGCAACGAGCGCAACCCUUGCCAUUAGUUGCUACAUUUAGUUGAGCACUCUAAUGGGACUGCCGGUGACAAACCGGAGGAAGGUGGGGAUGACGUCAAGUCCUCAUGGCCCUUAUAGGUGGGGCUACACACGUCAUACAAUGGCUGGUACAAAGGGUUGCCAACCCGGCGAGGGGGUAGCUAAUCCCAUAAAGCCAGUCGUAGUCCGGAUCGCAGUCUGCAACUCGACUGCGUGAAGUCGGAAUCGCUAGUAAUCGUGGAUCAGAAUGUCACGGUGAAUACGUUCCCGGGUC